GAUGAACGCUAGCUACAGGCUUAACACAUGCAAGUCGAGGGGAAACGCCAUCGCAAGCUUGCUUUUGAUGGGCGUCGACCGGCGCACGGGUGAGUAACGCGUAUCCAACCUGCCCAUCACUUGGGAAUAACCUUGCGAAAGUAAGACUAAUACCCAAUGAUAUCCCACGAAGGCAUCGGAAUGGGAUUAAAGAUUUAUCGGUGAUGGAUGGGGAUGCGUCUGAUUAGCUUGUUGGCGGGGUAACGGCCCACCAAGGCAACGAUCAGUAGGGGUUCUGAGAGGAAGGUCCCCCGCAUUGGAACUGAGACACGGUCCAAACUCCUACGGGAGGCAGCAGUGAGGAAUAUUGGUCAAUGGGCGAGGGCCUGAACCAGCCAAGUAGCGUGCAGGAAGACGGCCCUCUGGGUUGUAAGCUGCUUUUAUAAGGGAAUAAAGUGGGUCACGUGUGACUUUUUGCAUGUACCUUAUGAAUAAGGACCGGCUAAUUCCGUG
Molecule: ribosomal RNA, 492 nt
Filed under: uncultured bacterium
Lineage: Bacteria
Description: partial 16S ribosomal RNA
Rfam family: Bacterial small subunit ribosomal RNA
Source: RNAcentral